GAUCUGAUAAUAUUAUCAUCCUUAGAAGAAGAGACACAGAGACCUCUCUCCCUUCCCACCAUGAUGUGAGAACACCAGGGGGAGGCAGCUGUCUGCAGGCCGGGAAGAGGGCCCUUACUGGAUAUUUGUUCUGCUAAAUCUUGAUCUGGGACCCCCAGCCCCCAAAACUGCAAAAAAAAAAAAAUGUUGGUUGCACAAGGCUCCUGUCCAGAGCAUUUUGUGUUGUCAUUUAUUAUAACAACUUCUGCCAGCCCCUGACCAGCACUAGCUCAGGGACCCAAGAAUUUUCUAGGUCACAGCCCCUGUGAACAUCUAAUGAGACUAUACAUCUCCUCUCCAGAAACAGACACAAAUGCUGGACAACGUUUCAAAUCCCCUAAAGCCCAUUCCUGAUGAUCGAUGGCUUCCAGCCUAAGGACCCAGUCUUGAAGCUUCUUUCUCUUUCUGUUCUUUUGAGAUCUGGAGUCAGACUAACUUCAGCCGAAAUGGAGCCGAGCGUGUUUUGGUGGCGGAGCGCAGCAGGACCCUGGAUCAGGAAGCCAGAUGGGAGCGGGAGCUUCCUGGGCUGCUCUCCCGCCCUCCGGACCGUGCUGCGUGCUGCGGCUCUUAAGUCUAAGCCCGGGAUGUCACAGAGCAUGCUCAGCCCUGCAGGACCAGCCUCCCUGCCUUCGCCUUGCUCCAUCCGCCUUUGGGGAUUCUAACCUUCAGGGAAGGAGGUGAAGACAGUCUGGCGUCUGAGGAGUGUGUCGGGCUCCCCUCCCUUCCGGCCAUGCAGAGAGGGAAGAGCCGGGUCAAGAUUCCACCCGAGAUUCCAGUGCAAGCUCUGCCCCUUACUGGCUGGUGACAUUCUGAGCAUUCUAAGUCCCCACCUAUAAAUCGAGUCGGCCUGAAGGCUCCGGCGAGUGUAAAAUGAGCUUCUGGGAGCACAGGGCUCAGCAGUGCCAAGCACGCAGCCAGGCUCCAAUCCAUGGACAUUGUUUCACUUCCUGCAGUCCAGCAAGAGGGUCUGGAGGAGAGGGGUCACCCCGUGGGCCUCUUACCAUCACUUCUGUUUUUGACCUUUGUUCCUAUCCCUCAUUCUAUGCCACGCAGGUGUAAUUGAUAAUUAACUGAAAAAUAAAUGGCGCUCAACUCUGUCACCUAGUGGCCACACUGGGUACCUGCAGGCAGCUCCAGGCAUUCUGCAGCCAAAGAGGACAAUUUAUCAUCAUUCAUGGUUUAACCGGGGGAAAUCACCAAAGAAGACAAGAUGAUGUGGAGUAUUAAUUAUCUCUGAUUUUUUAUGAAUAGAAACUCGUUAUUUAAAAGUUUUACCUGAUAUACUAUGAUUAUAUAAAAUAUUAUCACUGGGAGAAACUAGGUGAAGAGGACUUGGGAAAUCUAUUUUUGUAGCUUGUGAAUCUAAAACUAUUUCAAAAUAAAAAGUUUAAAAUAAAAUUCAAUU
RNAcentral lists this long non-coding RNA (1444 nucleotides) under Ictidomys tridecemlineatus (thirteen-lined ground squirrel). RNAcentral describes it as "lncRNA (ENSSTOG00000034400.1)". The record is from RNAcentral. Lineage: Eukaryota; Metazoa; Chordata; Mammalia; Rodentia; Sciuridae.